RNAcentral lists this ribosomal RNA (452 nucleotides) under Melanoides woodwardi. RNAcentral's name for it is "partial 16S ribosomal RNA". It matches the Rfam family "Bacterial large subunit ribosomal RNA", at positions 1854 to 2575 of the family's 2925-position model. The record is from RNAcentral. RNAcentral also lists the same sequence under 8 other names. Lineage: Eukaryota; Metazoa; Mollusca; Gastropoda; Thiaridae.
GAACCUGCCCAGUGAAGUUUUAACGGCCGCGGUACCCUGACCGUGCAAAGGUAGCAUAAUCACUUGCCUUAUAAUUGAAGGCUAGCAUGAAUGGUCUGACGAGAGCUACGCUGUCUCCUCUUUAUUAUCUAGAAAUUAACUUAUAGGUGAAGAGGCCUAUAUUAUAUUGAAGGACAAGAAGACCCUGUCGAGCUUAAAAGUAAAGUAAAAGCUAGCUAUAAGAAGAAAUCAACAAAUUACAUAACUUUUUAGUUGGGGCGACUAAGGAACAAAUAAAGCUUCUUUUAUUUUUAUAGAUUAGCAGAUCCUGAUCCAGCUAAUGCUGAUUGGAGGAAUUAGUUACCGCAGGGAUAACAGCAUAAUCUCCUUUGAGAGACCUAAUCGAAAGGGGGGGUUGUGACCUCGAUGUUGGACUAGAAUAUCCUGAAGAUGCAGACGUCUUCAAAGGUUGG